CUUAACUGGGCGUUAAGUUGCAGGGUAUAGACCCGAAACCCGGUGAUCUAGCCAUGGGCAGGUUGAAGGUUGGGUAACACUAACUGGAGGACCGAACCGACUAAUGUUGAAAAAUUAGCGGAUGACUUGUGGCUGGGGGUGAAAGGCCAAUCAAACCGGGAGAUAGCUGGUUCUCCCCGAAAGCUAUUUAGGUAGCGCCUCGUGAAUUCAUCUCCGGGGGUAGAGCACUGUUUCGGCAAGGGGGUCAUCCCGACUUACCAACCCGAUGCAAACUGCGAAUACCGGAGAAUGUUAUCACGGGAGACACACGGCGGGUGCUAACGUCCGUCGUGAAGAGGGAAACAACCCAGACCGCCAGCUAAGGUCCCAAAGUCAUGGUUAAGUGGGAAACGAUGUGGGAAGGCCCAGACAGCCAGGAUGUUGGCUUAGAAGCAGCCAUCAUUUAAAGAAAGCGUAAUAGCUCACUGGUCGAGUCGGCCUGCGCGGAAGAUGUAACGGGGCUAAACCAUGCACCGAAGCUGCGGCAGCGACACUGUGUGUUGUUGGGUAGGGGAGCGUUCUGUAAGCCUGUGAAGGUGUACUGUGAGGUAUGCUGGAGGUAUCAGAAGUGCGAAUGCUGACAUAAGUAACGAUAAAGCGGGUGAAAAGCCCGCUCGCCGGAAGACCAAGGGUUCCUGUCCAACGUUAAUCGGGGCAGGGUGAGUCGACCCCUAAGGCGAGGCCGAAAGGCGUAGUCGAUGGGAAACAGGUUAAUAUUCCUGUACUUGGUGUUACUGCGAAGGGGGGACGGAGAAGGCUAUGUUGGCCGGGCGACGGUUGUCCCGGUUUAAGCGUGUAGGCUGGUUUUCCAGGCAAAUCCGGAAAAUCAAGGCUGAGGCGUGAUGACGAGGCACUACGGUGCUGAAGCAACAAAUGCCCUGCUUCCAGGAAAAGCCUCUAAGCAUCAGGUAACAUCAAAUCGUACCCCAAACCGACACAGGUGGUCAGGUAGAGAAUACCAAGGCGCUUGAGAGAACUCGGGUGAAGGAACUAGGCAAAAUGGUGCCGUAACUUCGGGAGAAGGCACGCUGAUAUGUAGGUGAAGUCCCUCGCGGAUGGAGCUGAAAUCAGUCGAAGAUACCAGCUGGCUGCAACUGUUUAUUAAAAACACAGCACUGUGCAAACACGAAAGUGGACGUAUACGGUGUGACGCCUGCCCGGUGCCGGAAGGUUAAUUGAUGGGGUCAGCGCAAGCGAAGCUCUUGAUCGAAGCCCCGGUAAACGGCGGCCGUAACUAUAACGGUCCUAAGGUAGCGAAAUUCCUUGUCGGGUAAGUUCCGACCUGCACGAAUGGCGUAAUGAUGGCCAGGCUGUCUCCACCCGAGACUCAGUGAAAUUGAACUCGCUGUGAAGAUGCAGUGUACCCGCGGCAAGACGGAAAGACCCCGUGAACCUUUACUAUAGCUUGACACUGAACAUUGAGCCUUGAUGUGUAGGAUAGGUGGGAGGCUUUGAAGUGUGGACGCCAGUCUGCAUGGAGCCGACCUUGAAAUACCACCCUUUAAUGUUUGAUGUUCUAACGUGGACCCGUGAUCCGGGUUGCGGACAGUGUCUGGUGGGUAGUUUGACUGGGGCGGUCUCCUCCUAAAGAGUAACGGAGGAGCACGAAGGUUGGCUAAUCCUGGUCGGACAUCAGGAGGUUAGUGCAAUGGCAUAAGCCAGCUUGACUGCGAGCGUGACGGCGCGAGCAGGUGCGAAAGCAGGUCAUAGUGAUCCGGUGGUUCUGAAUGGAAGGGCCAUCGCUCAACGGAUAAAAGGUACUCCGGGGAUAACAGGCUGAUACCGCCCAAGAGUUCAUAUCGACGGCGGUGUUUGGCACCUCGAUGUCGGCUCAUCACAUCCUGGGGCUGAAGUAGGUCCCAAGGGUAUGGCUGUUCGCCAUUUAAAGUGGUACGCGAGCUGGGUUUAGAACGUCGUGAGACAGUUCGGUCCCUAUCUGCCGUGGGCGCUGGAGAACUGAGGGGGGCUGCUCCUAGUACGAGAGGACCGGAGUGGACGCAUCACUGGUGUUCGGGUUGUCAUGCCAAUGGCACUGCCCGGUAGCUAAAUGCGGAAGAGAUAAGUGCUGAAAGCAUCUAAGCACGAAACUUGCCCCGAGAUGAGUUCUCCCUGACCCUUUAAGGGUCCUGAAGGAACGUUGAAGACGACGACGUUGAUAGGCCGGGUGUGUAAGCGCAGCGAUGCGUUGAGCUAACCGGUACUAAUGAACCGUGAGGCUUAACCUUACAACGCCGAAGGUGUUU
This 2282-nucleotide ribosomal RNA is filed under the name Escherichia coli. RNAcentral's name for it is "partial 23S ribosomal RNA". It matches the Rfam family "Bacterial large subunit ribosomal RNA", at positions 683 to 2925 of the family's 2925-position model. Lineage: Bacteria; Pseudomonadati; Pseudomonadota; Gammaproteobacteria; Enterobacterales; Enterobacteriaceae. The record is from RNAcentral.